RNAcentral lists this ribosomal RNA (372 nucleotides) under uncultured organism. Its description in RNAcentral is "bacterial SSU rRNA". It matches the Rfam family "Bacterial small subunit ribosomal RNA", at positions 526 to 896 of the family's 1533-position model. The record is from RNAcentral.
CAGAGGGGGCAAGCGUUAUUCGGAAUUAUUGGGCGUAAAGGGCGCGUAGGCGGCUUUGCAAGUGACGGGUGAAAUCCCUCGGCUUAACCGAGGAACUGCCUGUCAGACUGUGAGGCUUGAGACCGGGAGAGGUGAGUGGAAUUCCCAGUGUAGCGGUGAAAUGCGUAGAUAUUGGGAGGAACACCAGUGGCGAAGGCGGCUCACUGGACCGGAACUGACGCUGAUGCGCGAAAGCGUGGGGAGCAAACAGGAUUAGAUACCCUGGUAGUCCACGCCGUAAACGAUGAGUGCUUGGUGUAGCGGGUAUCGACCCCUGCUGUGCCGAAGUCAACACAUUAAGCACUCCGCCUGGGGAGUACGGUCGCAAGACUG